RNAcentral lists this ribosomal RNA (253 nucleotides) under uncultured bacterium. RNAcentral describes it as "partial 16S ribosomal RNA". It matches the Rfam family "Bacterial small subunit ribosomal RNA", at positions 524 to 776 of the family's 1533-position model. The record is from RNAcentral.
GACGUAGGAGGCGAGCGUUGUCCGGAUUCAUUGGGCGUAAAGAGCACGCAGGCGGUUUGGCAAGUCGGACGUGAAAAUCCGGGGCUCAACCCCGGACCUGCAUCCGAAACUGCCCGACUAGAGGUAGGUAGGGGAGAUCGGAAUUCCUGGUGUAGCGGUGAAAUGCGCAGAUAUCAGGAGGAACACCGGUGGCGAAGGCGGAUCUCUGGGCCUUACCUGACGCUGAGGAGCGAAAGCAUGGGGAGCGAACAGG